RNAcentral lists this ribosomal RNA (282 nucleotides) under Triticum aestivum (bread wheat). RNAcentral's name for it is "partial small subunit ribosomal RNA". The record is from RNAcentral. Lineage: Eukaryota; Viridiplantae; Streptophyta; Magnoliopsida; Poales; Poaceae.
AUGGACCUUACAAAAUUAUGGGAAACAAUUGGUAGUGUGGCUUACAAGUUAUUACUGCCACCCAAUCUGAGCAUUCAUCCAGUGUUUCAUGUCAGCCAACUAAACAAACACUUGAGUAGCCAUACAGUAUCUUGUGUAGGCCUUCUUUUGGUCACUCCUUCAGGAAAAAGUAAGAUUGAACCCACUGUAGUUAUGGAAACAAGAUCUCUUCCUUGCAAUGGUGUUCUUUUUACACAUUGGCUUGUGGAAUGGGAGAACUUAAUUCUAGCAGAAGCAACCUAG